GGAGCCGUAGCGAAAGCGAGUUUUAACUGAGCGUUCAGUUACUUGACGUAGACCCGAAACCGGGCGACCUACCCAUGAGCAGGAUGAAGCGAAAGUAAAAUUUCGUGGAGGUCCGAACCCACGAGCGUUGAAAAGCUCGGGGAUGACUUGUGGGUAGCGGUGAAAUUCCAAUCGAGCCCGGAGAUAGCUGGUUCUCCCCGAAAUAGCUUUAGGGCUAGCCUCAAGGUGAGAGAUACGGAGGUAGAGCACUGAAUGUCCUAGGGGGUAUUGCACCUACCGAAGACUAUCAAACUCCGAAUGCCGUCAUCUUAUACUUGGGAGUCAGACUGUGGGUGAUAAGAUUCAUAGUCGAAAGGGCAACAGCCCAGAUCGUCAGCUAAGGUCCCUAAAUGUAAGUUAAGUGGUAAAGGAUGUGGGAUUGCACAGACAACCAGGAUGUUGGCUUAGAAGCAGCCACUCAUUCAAAGAGUGCGUAAUAGCUCACUGGUCGAGUGAUCCUGCGCCGAAGAUUUCCGGGGCUAAAACUUACUACCGAAGCUACGGCAUCAGUAAUGAUGGGUAGGGGAGCUUCCCAUACGGGUUGAAGCAUGACCGUAAGGACAUGUGGACAGUAGGGGAGUGAGAAUGUUGGCAUGAGUAGCGAGAUGUGGGUGGGAAUCCCACAGGCCGUAAACCCAAGGUUUCCAGGGGAAGGUUCGUCCGCCCUGGGUUAGUCGGGACCUAAGCUGAGGCCGAAAGGCGUAGGUGAUGGACAACAGGUUGAUAUUCCUGUACUACCGAUAACCGUUUGAGAGAAGGGAUGACACAGUAGGAUAAGCUAAGCACACUGUUGGUUAUGUGUGCCCAAGCAUUGAGGCAGUCAAAGUAGGCAAAUCCGCUUUGAUAAUGCUGGGAUGUGAUGGGGAGCGAAAUUUAGUAGCGAAGUAGCUGAUUUCACACUGUCAAGAAAAGUCUCUAUCGAGGUUAAAGGUACCCGUACCGCAAACCGACACAGGUG
This 997-nucleotide ribosomal RNA is filed under the name Clostridioides difficile. RNAcentral describes it as "bacterial LSU rRNA". It matches the Rfam family "Bacterial large subunit ribosomal RNA", at positions 662 to 1665 of the family's 2925-position model. The record is from RNAcentral. Lineage: Bacteria; Bacillati; Bacillota; Clostridia; Peptostreptococcales; Peptostreptococcaceae.